CUACUGGGGUUUCUAAUCCCGUUUGCUCCCCUAGCUUUCGCGCCUCAGCGUCAGUGUCGGUCCAGGAAGCCGCCUUCGCCACCGGUGUUCCUCCGGAUAUCUACGCAUUUCACCGCUACACCCGGAAUUCCGCUUCCCUCUCCCGAACUCAAGCCAAGCAGUUUCCCGUGCAGUUCCUCAGUUGAGCCGAGGGAUUUCACACGGGACUUGCAAGACCGCCUACGCGCCCUUUACGCCCAGUAAUUCCGAACAACGCUUGCCACCUCUGUAUUACCGCGGCUGCUGGCAC
RNAcentral lists this ribosomal RNA (289 nucleotides) under uncultured Acidobacteriota bacterium. RNAcentral's name for it is "uncultured Acidobacteria bacterium partial 16S ribosomal RNA". Lineage: Bacteria; Pseudomonadati; Acidobacteriota. The record is from RNAcentral.